CCCUUAGAGUUUGAUCCUGGCUCAGAGCUAACGCUGGCGGCGUGCCUAAUACAUGCAAGUCGAACGAGGAAGUCCCUUCGGGGAUUGUACGAGUGGCGCACGGGUGAGGAACACGUAGGUAAACUUCCCUCGAGUGGGGAAUAACCAACCGAAAGGUUGGCUAAUACCGCAUAAGACCACAGUCACUGCGGUGACAGGGGUUAAAGAUUUCGGUCGCUCGAGGAUGUGCCUGCGUCCCAUUAGCUAGUUGGUGAGGUAAAGGCUUACCAAGGCGACGAUGGGUAGCUGGUCUGAGAGGAUGAUCAGCCACACUGGAACUGAGACACGGUCCAGACUCCUACGGGAGGCAGCAGUAGGGAAUAUUGCACAAUGGACGAAAGUCUGAUGCAGCGACGCCGCGUGAGUGAUGAAGGCCUUCGGGUUGUAAAGCUCUGUUCUUAGGGAAUAAGCAAGUGAAUGUACUUAAGAAGAAAGGACCGGCUAACUUCGUGCCAGCGGCCGCGGUAAGACGAGGGGUCCUAGCGUUGCUCGGAAUCAUUGGGCGUAAAGCGGAUGUAGGUGGCUUUGUAAGUCGGAAGUGAAAGCCCUGGGCUUAACCCAGGAAGUGCUUUCGAUACUGCUUAGCUUGAGUGUGGGAGAGGAUAGUAGAAUACCUGGUGUAGUGGUGAAAUACGUAGAUAU
RNAcentral lists this ribosomal RNA (681 nucleotides) under uncultured bacterium. RNAcentral's name for it is "bacterial SSU rRNA". It matches the Rfam family "Bacterial small subunit ribosomal RNA", at positions 1 to 697 of the family's 1533-position model. The record is from RNAcentral.